This 61-nucleotide transfer RNA is filed under the name Eremobates cf. palpisetulosus SEM-2008. RNAcentral's name for it is "tRNA-Cys". The record is from RNAcentral. Lineage: Eukaryota; Metazoa; Arthropoda; Arachnida; Solifugae; Eremobatidae.
GGUCUUAUAGUUUAUAAAAAACUUUGAAUUGCAAAUUCAAGAAAAGGUGUUCUUAAGACUU